Molecule: long non-coding RNA, 1583 nt
Filed under: Homo sapiens (human)
Lineage: Eukaryota; Metazoa; Chordata; Mammalia; Primates; Hominidae
Description: HSALNT0083805
Source: RNAcentral
CCUCCGCUAUGUGGGCGGUGACCCGCCCGUGACGUAAGCUCCAGACGCCUGAGAAGUGGAAGGACCCGGCGUCCAGGACAGGAAAGUGCGUGAUUUACAGCUAGAGGGAUAGGCGCUGUCCCGGAGCCCGUCCUGGGCCAGGGAGCAGGAGAGGGAGGGACUACAGUUCCCGACGCGCUGCGGGGCGGGCGGAGAUCGUGCGCUUCGGCGCCAGUUGCACGGCCUUAGCAGCCAGUGGCGGCUCCCCUGCUCCUGUAACAGUCCCCUUGUCUUCUGACCUUUCGCUCCUCGGUCAUGUGUCCUCGCCGGUCGCCGCGGCAGCCAGUGAUGCCCGAGCGGCGGGUUCCCAGGCCCAGGUGUGGGCGCCACCGCCCACCAUGCGCCAAGCCCAGAGCCUGGUUGAAUCGUUCGCCACCUUGUCUACCCAUUUUGGCCAUUAUCCUGCCACCUCCAAAUCCUGUUUUUGACACUUCUCGGGAGAGAGAGAAAACGGAAAGAUAAAGGAAUAAACUCCUCGUGGUCGUAGUUAGUGGGUAAAUUCAGAUCUCGUUUGAACCGAGGUUUUUCUUAUCUCCAGCCACCGUAUCCACCACCACCAGAAUCGUCUUUUUAGUCAUCACAGCUGGUCGCCGUCAGUACCUUGUUCAGAAGCCUCUCGCAGCUUCCAUCGUGUGGUUAUACAAUCCAAAUUCCUUAUAAAGUCCAAAUUCAAGAGGAGGAAUGCACGUUUAGUUAAGUUAAUGUCUAGACCUUACCAGCCAAUUUCUAGCUCCUCAGUAUGGAAAUUGCAACUGAAAACACCCCUUCCAAAAAAAGCAGUCUGCAUUUUUCUCUGAGUUUUCUUCUCCAAAUUUCGCACCCCUGACCUUGCUUACACACUCUGGAUACCACCUGCUGUGGAGUGGCGGAAGCAGACAUCCAGCGAUAGCUAAGUUUCCUGUCGUUGACACCCAAGCAAGACAGGCGUGUACCUAACUGAGGACCUGCCGGUGAUAGAAGUCUCAGCUUUUCUCAGAGACAGAUGAGUCUUCCCUUUAAAUGCUGCAAAGUGCUGCAUAGUAGAUGUUAAAUGAAAGUCAGAAAGAAUCAAAUGUGCUGCAAAUAAUUGAAGGUAAUUCAACCCAAUGGAAAUAGAUUAAAAGAGUGAAAGUCACUGGUCUCAAAGAAUCUACGGAAUUCAGCAUUUUGGAAAUCACAUAGCAAUUUUGGGUAGGUAUUCACAUGCACUAAAAAACCAGGCAAACAUCCGACUCCCAGGAUAAAGUGACUGAGAGCAGUAGAAGACUUGUUGAGCCGUAAGGAAUAAGAGGAAAAUUAUGUUAUGAAGUGCAGGAACAGCACAGACCCAGACGAGGGGAUGCAGCCCAGAGCCAGUAACCCGGUGCCUCCUCCUCCCCAGGAAGCAGCGCUGGCUGAUCCCCAGAUACCAUGAUCACACCGUCCCAGGUCCUGAGAGCGCCUCAUAGGUAGACAGUUCUUUGGGACUUUUGGGACGCAGCACUUGAAGAGAGGUCUACCUAAACUUUCCUCCUGGGAGCCUGUGAUCAUUUGAAAGUAACAGAAGAAAGUUGUCAGGCUGAGGA